Molecule: unclassified non-coding RNA, 290 nt
Organism: Cricetulus griseus (Chinese hamster)
Lineage: Eukaryota; Metazoa; Chordata; Mammalia; Rodentia; Cricetidae
Gene: 7SK
Rfam family: 7SK RNA
About the family: 7SK was discovered as an abundant small nuclear RNA in the mid-70s but a possible function has only recently been suggested. Two independent studies have found that 7SK RNA binds the CDK9/cyclin T complex (known as elongation factor P-TEFb).
Source: Ensembl
AGAUGUAAAUUGGACAAUCUGACAUGACAUCUGUCACUCCAUCAUCACCAGAAUUAAAUCAACUGAUUGACUGUCUAGGUAGCUGUUGCCUUUCUCCUUACUACUCCACAGAUGUCCAACCCAGAAUUGCACUCUUAGUGGAAGAAUUUGAUCUUCUCUAUGGAGUAGGAUUGAUCUUUGGUCAAGGGUGCAAGAGUAACUCUGCUCCUCGGCUAGAUGCUCCAAACAAGCCCUUCAAAGUAGAUCAGGAAGGUUCCACCCCACUGGGCUACCAAUUGGAGCACCCUGUU